GACGAACGCUGGCGGCGUGCUUAACACAUGCAAGUCGAACGGAAAGGCACUGCUUUUGUGGGGUGCCGGAGUGGGGGACGGGUGAGUAUCACGUGAGUAACCUGCUCUUGACUUUGGGAUAAGUUCAGGAAACUGGGGCUAAUACCGUAUCGGAGCUGCUCCUGGAUUGUGGGGGUUGGAAAGUUUGGGCGGUCGGGGAUGGACUCGCGGGUUAUCAGCUUGUUGGUGGGGUGGUGGCUUACCAAGGCUGUGACGGGUAGCUGGCCUGAGAGGGUGAACAGCCAGAUUGGGACCGGAAGACAGGCCAGAGUCCUGAGGGGUGCAGCAGGGGGGAAAAUUUGACAAUGGGCGGACGCCUGAUGCAAGAACGCCGCCGGCGGGAAGACCGCCUUUGUGGUGAAAACCACUUUCGCCUGUAACGAAGCGUGAGUGAGGGUAAUGGGAAAAAAAGCACCGGCUAACUACGUG
Molecule: ribosomal RNA, 468 nt
Filed under: uncultured bacterium
Lineage: Bacteria
Description: partial 16S ribosomal RNA
Rfam family: Bacterial small subunit ribosomal RNA
Source: RNAcentral